Molecule: ribosomal RNA, 500 nt
Filed under: uncultured bacterium
Lineage: Bacteria
Description: partial 16S ribosomal RNA
Rfam family: Bacterial small subunit ribosomal RNA
Source: RNAcentral
GACGAACGCUGGCGGCGUGCCUAAUACAUGCAAGUCGAGCGGACUGAUUAAGAGCUUGCUCUUAUGCCGUUAGCGGCGGACGGGUGAGUAACACGUGGGCAACCUGCCCUGUAGAUCGGGAUAACACCGAGAAAUCGGUGCUACUACCGGGUAAUAUCUGAGAUCACAUGAUCUUAGGUUAAAAGAUGGCUCCGGCUAUCACUACAGGAUGGGCCCGCGGCGCAUUAGCUAGUUGGUAAGGUAAUGGCUUACCAAGGCGACGAUGCGUGGCCGACCUGAGAGGGUGAUCGGCCACACUGGGGCUGAGACACGGCCCAGACUCCUACGGGAGGCAGCAGUAGGGAAUCUACCGCAAUGGACGAAAGUCUGACGGAGCAACGCCGCGUGAGUGAUGAAGGGUUUCGGCGCGUAAAGCGCUGUUGUUAGGGAAGAAACAGUACCGAACGAACUAGGUCGGUACCUUGACGGUACCUAACCAGAAAGCCACGGCUAACUACGUG